This is a long non-coding RNA of Gavialis gangeticus (Gharial), 1226 nucleotides long. RefSeq lists it as uncharacterized. The record is from RefSeq and is a predicted model, not a curated record. Lineage: Eukaryota; Metazoa; Chordata; Crocodylia; Gavialidae. The transcript has 3 exons.
GAUUCCCAGUGAGGAAAGUGUGCACACACAGGUACCAUAAUAGCUGUCAGGGUGUGUAUCUUCUUCCUCAUCUUUCACUCCAGGCUAAAUUUCAAAGCAUCUUGUGCAGGAAGCAACUGAUGCUUGUAGAUUGCCCCCACAUGCCACCCCAAUGGCCUGCUGGAAUCUUGUGCAUCUGGUCACAGGGACAGAACAAGGUUUUCCCAGUAAUUACUCUGCCCAGCUGCCAUGGGGGUGCAAAGUAUGAGACAGGCUAUCUUUCUUCCUGUUUUGUAAGCACCCUAUAUUUCUGACUUGCUGAAAUACGGCACUGUGGUAGAGGUGAGGCUGCUGUAGUAUUUUGUGGCUGGGAAAAAUGGGGAAGGAGGAACUCAGAGGGAGACAGAGUGGAAGCUAGGGUUAAUGGACCAGGGUUUCAUAGGUAAGUUAGGAUGAGAUGGUGGACAGAAUCAGAAUAUGGCUGACAACACGGGGAAGAUUAACUGAACUAAGGGAGGAUGAGAGGUGGGACCUUUUUUAUACCCUGUCCAAACCUAAUAUUUUUAGAUAUCCUCACCCAUUCCAAGCACACUUUCCUCCUCUCUGUGCCCUUCCACCCAGGCCAAGAACCACCCCUUGGGUCCUUUCCCCUUGCUAUAGAAACUCAAGCUUCGCUCAGCUUCAUCCGAUUCAGGCACCACCUUGUUUCAUCUGUUAGUUCUGGCUGCCUAUGUACUAUGUGCUCCCUAUUAUCAGUCCAGGGGAUAAACUCCUGACUUUCCCCACACCUGCUAUCAAUGCUGAGGAGAACCAAUGAAAAUCUCUGUAAUGAAAUGCAUCUUUUGCUUCACUACCACUAUUUAUCAGAUGGUUCCGUUUAGAGGGCUAGUAGCAAGGGAAAUGGCAAUACCCAAACCCAGCUCUUCUGGAUAUUCAUAAAUCUUGAAGCAUGAUUGAAGAACACAAGAAAGAAAGUGGUCCAACAAUUGUUCUAGAUUUGCAGAGAUGAAUUAUGAUGCUGUCUUUUUCUCCACAGUACUACCAAGUCUUUCAGCCAUUACAAGAACAUUCCUACUGAUCUGCAUCCUAACAGUGUAUAUUGUGCAAGUGUUGUCAUUGUUUAUCCAUUUAGCUCCUACAAAGCCUAUCAAGCAGGGGUAGGCAACAUUUUUGGUUGGAGUGCCAAAAAAACUGCAAUGUCUACCUUGUAACGUGCUGGAGUGCCAACACACUAGAAAAACAGAUCU